This is a long non-coding RNA of Macrobrachium nipponense, 752 nucleotides long. RefSeq lists it as uncharacterized. The transcript is spliced from 3 exons. NCBI's taxonomy places the organism in Eukaryota, Metazoa, Arthropoda, Malacostraca, Decapoda, Palaemonidae. The record is from RefSeq and is a predicted model, not a curated record.
UCAGGUACGCUCGACCACGGAAUAUUGUGCCACAAAUAAUCAGGAUUUAUAGUUUUUGAAGUUUUGUUUUUUUGGUUAACCGAAGGGUUUAGCAUAUAGCGAAAUGGAGGAGGUCGGUGAUGGACCCUUGGUGUUACUUCUCUGGUGCCUUCUGCAGUAGGAAACUGGACCUUCGAAGAGAUUCGAGCACCAAGACCUUAUCAGUUAAGGCCUUCCAGAGAACCUGGGAUUUGGUGAUGACACAAAAGAUGAUGUUGCCAUAGCAACGUGCCUUUGGUCAUAUGAUAACAGACAGGAACCCUAGGAACCCUAGAGUGGCGUGAAGGAUGUAGAAAGAAAGUUCGGGAAGAGCUUUUAUUCCAGCAUGGUGACUUGAGUGCAAAUCUUCUCAUCCUUGUCUGCGGACGGAAGAAGUUAAGGAGAAUCCACAGGACGUCUUCACCUGCCUACUCGAGGUUACCACCUUGCCAUUUUGGGGGCUCCAUCAGUGAGCUCACUUCUUAACCUAUAUCUGGAAACUUGGGAUACGUUGCCGUAAUGAUUCUAGUAUAUGGUCCUUGGAUUUCCUUAUUUAUCCACUAAAUUUAAUUUGCCUGUCUUGUUUGCAGUAUCACGUUCGUUGUAUGAAAAAGGCAAAUAGAAAUACAGAAGGAAAUUUUACAAAUUUUAUUAAAUUAGAAGCAACUUACAGUUCUACAAUUCAUUCAAAUCACAAUCGCCUCCCGGUCCGGACAGAUAGUCGCCAAACUGCC